GGCGGGACACGUGGUAUCCUGUCUGAAUAUGGGGGGACCAUCCUCCAAGGCUAAAUACUCCUGACUGACCGAUAGUGAACCAGUACCGUGAGGGAAAGGCGAAAAGAACCCCGGCGAGGGGAGUGAAAAAGAACCUGAAACCGUGUACGUACAAGCAGUGGGAGCACAGAGCAAUCUGUGUGACUGCGUACCUUUUGUAUAAUGGGUCAGCGACUUAUAUUCUGUAGCAAGGUUAACCGAAUAGGGGAGCCGAAGGGAAACCGAGUCUUAACUGGGCGUUAAGUUGCAGGGUAUAGACCCGAAACCCGGUGAUCUAGCCAUGGGCAGGUUGAAGGUUGGGUAACACUAACUGGAGGACCGAACCGACUAAUGUUGAAAAAUUAGCGGAUGACUUGUGGCUGGGGGUGAAAGGCCAAUCAAACCGGGAGAUAGCUGGUUCUCCCCGAAAGCUAUUUAGGUAGCGCCUCGUGAAUUCAUCUCCGGGGGUAGAGCACUGUUUCGGCAAGGGGGUCAUCCCGACUUACCAACCCGAUGCAAACUGCGAAUACCGGAGAAUGUUAUCACGGGAGACACACGGCGGGUGCUAACGUCCGUCGUGAAGAGGGAAACAACCCAGACCGCCAGCUAAGGUCCCAAAGUCAUGGUUAAGUGGGAAACGAUGUGGGAAGGCCCAGACAGCCAGGAUGUUGGCUUAGAAGCAGCCAUCAUUUAAAGAAAGCGUAAUAGCUCACUGGUCGAGUCGGCCUGCGCGGAAGAUGUAACGGGGCUAAACCAUGCACCGAAGCUGCGGCAGCGACACUGUGUGUUGUUGGGUAGGGGAGCGUUCUGUAAGCCUGUGAAGGUGUGCUGUGAGGCAUGCUGGAGGUAUCAGAAGUGCGAAUGCUGACAUAAGUAACGAUAAAGCGGGUGAAAAGCCCGCUCGCCGGAAGACCAAGGGUUCCUGUCCAACGUUAAUCGGGGCAGGGUGAGUCGACCCCUAAGGCGAGGCCGAAAGGCGUAGUCGAUGGGAAACAGGUUAAUAUUCCUGUACUUGGUGUUACUGCGAAGGGGGGACGGAGAAGGCUAUGUUGGCCGGGCGACGGUUGUCCCGGUUUAAGCGUGUAGGCUGGUUUUCCAGGCAAAUCCGGAAAAUCAAGGCUGAGGCGUGAUGACGAGGCACUACGGUGCUGAAGCAACAAAUGCCCUGCUUCCAGGAAAAGCCUCUAAGCAUCAGGUAACAUCAAAUCGUACCCCAAACCGACACAGGUGGUCAGGUAGAGAAUACCAAGGCGCUUGAGAGAACUCGGGUGAAGGAACUAGGCAAAAUGGUGCCGUAACUUCGGGAGAAGGCACGCUGAUAUGUAGGUGAAGUCCCUCGCGGAUGGAGCUGAAAUCAGUCGAAGAUACCAGCUGGCUGCAACUGUUUAUUAAAAACACAGCACUGUGCAAACACGAAAGUGGACGUAUACGGUGUGACGCCUGCCCGGUGCCGGAAGGUUAAUUGAUGGGGUCAGCGCAAGCGAAGCUCUUGAUCGAAGCCCCGGUAAACGGCGGCCGUAACUAUAACGGUCCUAAGGUAGCGAAAUUCCUUGUCGGGUAAGUUCCGACCUGCACGAAUGGCGUAAUGAUGGCCAGGCUGUCUCCACCCGAGACUCAGUGAAAUUGAACUCGCUGUGAAGAUGCAGUGUACCCGCGGCAAGACGGAAAGACCCCGUGAACCUUUACUAUAGCUUGACACUGAACAUUGAGCCUUGAUGUGUAGGAUAGGUGGGAGGCUUUGAAGUGUGGACGCCAGUCUGCAUGGAGCCGACCUUGAAAUACCACCCUUUAAUGUUUGAUGUUCUAACGUGGACCCGUGAUCCGGGUUGCGGACAGUGUCUGGUGGGUAGUUUGACUGGGGCGGUCUCCUCCUAAAGAGUAACGGAGGAGCACGAAGGUUGGCUAAUCCUGGUCGGACAUCAGGAGGUUAGUGCAAUGGCAUAAGCCAGCUUGACUGCGAGCGUGACGGCGCGAGCAGGUGCGAAAGCAGGUCAUAGUGAUCCGGUGGUUCUGAAUGGAAGGGCCAUCGCUCAACGGAUAAAAGGUACUCCGGGGAUAACAGGCUGAUACCGCCCAAGAGUUCAUAUCGACGGCGGUGUUUGGCACCUCGAUGUCGGCUCAUCACAUCCUGGGGCUGAAGUAGGUCCCAAGGGUAUGGCUGUUCGCCAUUUAAAGUGGUACGCGAGCUGGGUUUAGAACGUCGUGAGACAGUUCGGUCCCUAUCUGCCGUGGGCGCUGGAGAACUGAGGGGGGCUGCUCCUAGUACGAGAGGACCGGAGUGGACGCAUCACUGGUGUUCGGGUUGUCAUGCCAAUGGCACUGCCCGGUAGCUAAAUGCGGAAGAGAUAAGUGCUGAAAGCAUCUAAGCACGAAACUUGCCCCGAGAUGAGUUCUCCCUGACCCUUUAAGGGUCCUGAAGGAACGUUGAAGACGACGACGUUGAUAGGCCGGGUGUGUAAGCGCAGCGAUGCGUUGAGCUAACCGGUACUAAUGAACCGUGAGGCUUAACCUUACAACGCCGAAGGUGUUU
RNAcentral lists this ribosomal RNA (2548 nucleotides) under Escherichia coli. Its description in RNAcentral is "partial 23S ribosomal RNA". It matches the Rfam family "Bacterial large subunit ribosomal RNA", at positions 416 to 2925 of the family's 2925-position model. The record is from RNAcentral. Lineage: Bacteria; Pseudomonadati; Pseudomonadota; Gammaproteobacteria; Enterobacterales; Enterobacteriaceae.